AUUGAACGCUGGCGGCAGGCCUAACACAUGCAAGUCGAGCGGAUGAAGGGAGCUUGCUCCUGGACUCAGCGGCGGACGGGUGAGUAAUGCCUAGGAAUCUGCCUGGUAGUGGGGGAUAACGUCCGGAAACGGGCGCUAAUACCGCAUACGUCCUGAGGGAGAAAGUGGGGGAUCUUCGGACCUCACGCUAUCAGAUGAGCCUAGGUCGGAUUAGCUAGUUGGUGGGGUAAAGGCCUACCAAGGCGACGAUCCGUAACUGGUCUGAGAGGAUGAUCAGUCACACUGGAACUGAGACACGGUCCAGACUCCUACGGGAGGCAGCAGUGGGGAAUAUUGGACAAAGGGCGAAAGCCUGAUCCAGCCAUGCCGCGUGUGUGAAGAAGGUCUUCGGAUUGUAAAGCACUUUAAGUUGGGAGGAAGGGCAGUAAGUUAAUACCUUGCUGUUUUGACGUUACCAACAGAAUAAGCACCGGCUAACUUCGUG
Molecule: ribosomal RNA, 484 nt
Filed under: uncultured bacterium
Lineage: Bacteria
Description: partial 16S ribosomal RNA
Rfam family: Bacterial small subunit ribosomal RNA
Source: RNAcentral